Long non-coding RNA from Callithrix jacchus (white-tufted-ear marmoset), 3575 nucleotides. RefSeq lists it as uncharacterized. NCBI's taxonomy places the organism in Eukaryota, Metazoa, Chordata, Mammalia, Primates, Cebidae. The record is from RefSeq and is a predicted model, not a curated record.
GCCUGACCGUUUCGUCUGCUGUGCAGAAGCUUUUGGGUUUGAUGUGACCCCAGUCGUCUGCUUCUGCUUCUCUUGUCUUGCUUUUGAAGUCUGCCCCAUAGAACCUCUGCGCAGGCCGACGUCCAGAAGCGUUUCAGGGCCUGGUGCAUGGCUGGAACCCUCCCAAGACUCAUUAAAUGAAUACUCUGGAAGCCACGUCUCCAGCUUCACCCAUAAGCCUGCAGCUGGCUCUGCCACUCCUGCCUCCUUCAAGCAGGCGUGGAAGGAGACCUGCAGAGCCAGGCCCCGCCACAGCAGAGGCUCACCCCAUGGCGGGUGACAUGCCAAGGGACAGGGAGGCCUCUUCCAAGGAUAUUCUCUGCCAGGCUGCCACCCCACCGGGCCCAGACCCGCCGUCCUGCAGGACGCCGCUGGCAUACAAAGCUGGAACUCGGCCUCCCUGGAGCCGGGACCAGGGGAUUCCAGAAAGUCCCGCUCGCCUAGUUGGAGAUAAAAGUAAUUCCACACCCGAUUCCUGCCAGCCGUUUUAAUAAAUAAGUAAACGCUACAAAGCCUCGGGGAGCCCUCUACCCAUUCGCUGGGGUGAAGGAGAGACGAGAAUAGUUGCCCGGAUCUGCUGCCAGCUGCCGGGCCCGUUUCUGGAAAGCCCAGCACCAAGGCGGCUUGUGCUGCUGCCAUGAGUCUCAGCGCAUGUCCGGGCGGAGAAGUCCGGAAGGGAGGAGCGGCCUGUGGCUGGAGCUGCUGCUGUUCCUGGGCUCAGUGGGCUGCCCUGGCCUCUAGGCCCGCCCAGGGCCUCCACAGAAACCACCGACCCUGGGGCAGCUCAGGAGGCCCUUGUCCAUGGGGAAGCCCCAGGAGCACAUGCAAGACAACAUUUAACAAGGGACACGCCAGGCCGGGCGCCGUGGCUCACGCCUGUAAUCCCAGCACUUUAGGAGACCGAGGCGGGUGGAUCACAAGGUCAGGAGUUCGAGACCAGAUUGGCCAAACAUGGUGAAAGUCCGUCUCUACUAAAAAUACAAAAAUUAGCCAGGCACAGUGGCACGUGCCUGAAGUCCCGGCUACUCGGGAGGCUGAGUGAGGAGAAUCACUUGAAUCCCAGAGGUGGAAGCUGCAGUGAGCUGAGAUAGUGCCACUGCACUCCAGCCUGGGAGACAGAGUGAGACUCCGUCUCAAAAAGAAAAGAAAAAAAAAAGGGAUACAUCAGACUCUACGGGCCCCCUGUGCCCGCACCAGCACAAGCCCCUGAGACAGCCUCCAUGACAGUUCCCCAAAUAAACAGUCAUCAAUCUACGGGGCUCUCCACACCCCAGUGCUCACUCCAGCCACCUGAUCAGAUCCCAGCCCUCUUUGUCCAUCUCCUCCCUGAACACUGGGGCUGGACCGUCACUGACAGUGCCCUGGGCGACAGGUGGCAAUCUAUAGAGGUCAUUAACUCCAGAGCGCCACAUUUUAAUGUGAAAAUGAGCCCUUCUACAUUGGCGCAGAUGUGAUGCUAUAUAAAGAAAUGGGGAUUUUAAUGUUUUGCUUUUCUUCCCUUUUCUAGUGCCGCAUUAUCAUAACAUUUUCCCAUAAUUACGCCCAUAAAAGUCACCUGAAAAUACUUCAUGCCACAAAAGUUGAUCUACGUAUUUCAUUCCAAGCAUGUCGCAUGGCAGAUCCUGAGCUCAGAACUCUGGGGCAAAACUUAGCUGGGGGCAGAGAACAGAGCCACAGAGCAGAGCCCCCUUCUUGGGUUCAAGUGUCCUCUGGCCUCAGGGAGGUCCAGCAGAAUGAGUGCAGGUGGGAGUGGGACGCCAGUGUGGACCGUGGAAGAGCGCAGACCCCCUUCUGGUUCUAUCUCAGUGAAAGAGCAGGGGUGGGGUGUGGGGAGGGGACAGUGGGGCACCGCCAGGAUUCCCAGACAGGAGUCAAUGCUGCUCUCCAGGGCACUGUCUAGAGUGGCUCUGCUGGGAAGUCCCUUCCCCCAGGCACCCCUGCCUGGGAAAAUCCUUCGAGGGGCAAACCUGCCUCCUCCUGACUGGUCCUAGGGCAAGGAUGUCAGCUAAAAGAAAUCCUGAAGUCAGAUCAUUUAUAUUUACGGAGCCGACAGAAACAAACAACCCAUGUUUUUGUGCCCCAAAUUCAUCAAAUAAAAACACUGUAAGAAUUUUUUUUUAAAAGAAAGAUGAGAACUAAACUUCCAAACGGCAUCCCUUCAUCAAGCCCCCAGUGUUUUCCAUUCUACCUCUUCUCGAACUCCAGAACAAAAUCUGAACAGCAGGAAAGUAGCAUCUUCUAAUUGCUCAUAAAUACGCACUAAAUUGUAUUUACAAAGGAAACGCAACGCCAGAGUGCGUACGCUCGGUUAGGAUUCUAAUGGAUUAAAACAACCCCAAAGUUGUCUGUAAUUUCUUCUCAUAGCUGUAGCUGCAGACGUGACGUUGAACCGGAGGGACAACUCGAUGUCGACGGGAUUUACCAACAGGGCCCGUGGAAUCUAGGCUGGCGUGCAGUGUCCUUCCCCUGGAUUUCCAUACCUCACCCAAAGAUGGAGUCAGGGAUUAGGUGUCACAGGACGCUGCGCCAGGCCACCAUCUGCUGCUCUCCCUUGCUGCUGUUCCAUCCUAUAUCCCAGGGAGGGGGGGAAGAUCACACCUCGGUGGCGGGCACAGAACGCCCUCAACCAGCUCUAGUUGGGUCAAGAGGUCCCAUUCCACACCCAGGUAGACAGAUCUGUCUACUCCGAAUAGGCUACGGGGAAAACAACCUAUACCAACUCUGUAAGUCACGCCCAGGGGGGCUUCCUCAGACCACACAGGGCAACUCGUUCCCAAGCAUCCAGCUCCCACGAGCAGCCCCGGCCGCGGAGGAAAGCAAGGCUGCUGUCACCGUGAUGGACGCAGACCACCGAGCAUGCAUGUCAAAGUGAGCCAUGCAGGGCCCCUUCCCGUUUGCGUCUCCCGGCAAUUCUUCCCCAGGAGGAGAAAAUGACAAGGCUGUGUCACUAUAGCAACUAGCCGAACUGGUGGCCUGCAGGUCUUUCUCCAGCCAGACGGUGGCGCCCGUCUCCUUCCAUUCGGAUCCCAGCACCCGGGAAAGAAAGGCCGGACUCCCGCUGGACCGGGAACAGCAGAGUCGCCCCAACAGAAAACCAGGCCAAGAAAGAAUCCGCUUUUCUCUUAGCUGCGCCAGGAAGCCAACACCUUGUGUGCUUCAGAGAAACACACAGAUUUAAUAGGCAGGAUAAUUGAACCCUGUAUGACACUUAUCCGUUUCCCUAAUUAAUAUGAUUCAAAUAUAUCUGCUUCAUAACACGAAGACAUUUUGAGUAAUAAAAAUCCUUACUGAUAACAAAAACAAUUUAUAAACAAGGAUACGAACGAUUCCUCUUCAUCCCAGAUAGACUGGAAGAAUGAAAAUCAUAGGAACGGUUUAAUCAGCAUUUAAUUUGCUUUAUGGGUUCUAAGAAAACGGGGGGGGGGGGCAUUUUUUUCUCUAGGACUGCAGUUCCGAGCUAUAAAUUAUUAUUAUGUCUAUUUUGUAUUUUAGUGAAAUGUUUCAAUUUCUCCAAGUACAUUUCUGGUGUGAUGGGG